CUGCGUACCAGUAGACCCUUUCUGGCUCCCUCAUAGCUAUAAAGGGGGGACAGCGUAUGCUAUAGCAAGUCUUGGCAUCAUCAGCAAAUUC
This 91-nucleotide small nucleolar RNA is filed under the name Podarcis lilfordi (Lilford's wall lizard). Lineage: Eukaryota; Metazoa; Chordata; Lepidosauria; Squamata; Lacertidae. The record is from RNAcentral.